This is a long non-coding RNA of Camelina sativa (false flax), 1079 nucleotides long. RefSeq lists it as uncharacterized. The record is from RefSeq and is a predicted model, not a curated record. NCBI's taxonomy places the organism in Eukaryota, Viridiplantae, Streptophyta, Magnoliopsida, Brassicales, Brassicaceae.
GAAAAGUCAAUUAUAUUGUACCCAAAAAAAACUCUGUUUCGUUUAACCUAAUAAAAAGCGGCGCUUUUUUAGAUUUGAAAUCGGAGUGCGGUGGCUCCUCCAGCACCGGUUUUGAUUUUCCUAUUUUCUUCAUCUCUUGCUUUGUAUUAGUUUUUAUAUUAAGUUAUUGGAAGUUUUUGGAUUGCGAUUGGGGAUUCGUUCUAGUUUUAACAAGUUUGUAACUUGGGUGUUUGCGGAAUCGGUCGAGCGUUUCAGAUUUUUUUUGUUCGUGGCUCUUGCGAAGAGAAUGGUACCGAAUCUGAGAUCGACGACGAUAAGCCUGUGUUUUUGCACCUGCUCACAACCCAGAUUUGUUGUCUCGCUCCUGUGCUUCAAGUUGUGGUGAUGCCGUGUGUGGCUAGUGAGUGUUCUGUUUGCAGACUUCACUUCGCCUUUGUUCUCGCUCAUUCGUUUUGCCUGGUUUUAGCUUUUAGUUUCCCAUCUAGUUCGUCUCCUUACUAAGAAGAGGCUCAUCGAAGUAGUUAUGUUUCGCUCUUUGUCUCUGCGUUUCCGAAUCUGGAGGAUGUCGGAUUGCGCUUAUAUGACUUCUAUCUAGGCUCUACUUGACGCUUCAACCGUCUCGGCCGCAUCUGGAAGUGUUUAUUGAGGUUCUGAAUUGAACAUUUACUUGUCAGGUUAUGAAGUUUGGUUCUUGGUUUGGAGAGAUCAUCUCUCAUGUGAAAGGAAGAAGCAGAUGUGAUCAAUGUGAUGGCCGUGGGCAACAUUGGUAUAGCUCAUUCGCAGAAACUUCAGAAGAAAAGAUCGGUUUGUUUGUUUAGACUUAGUAUUUGUCUUCGUUAUUAUUGUUAGUAUGCCUCUAGUUUUAGUUGUUGGGUUCGGUCUCUUUCGUUUCUCGCCUUAAAAUUUUUCUUGUUGUAAGUUUAAGUUGUCUCCCGGGACUAAUCUGUUGUCCGCUGGUUUAGCCUCUCUCUUUUGGGCCUUAGACUCCGGGGAGAUUUCUAUUUUCCGCCGGUUUAAGAUGUGUUUUACAAUGUAUCCUUUCAAAUAUUAUCAAUAACAUCAGAUGACAAAAAAAAAAA